Molecule: ribosomal RNA, 252 nt
Filed under: uncultured bacterium
Lineage: Bacteria
Description: partial 16S ribosomal RNA
Rfam family: Bacterial small subunit ribosomal RNA
Source: RNAcentral
GACAGAGGUGCCGAGCGUUAGGCGGAAUCACUGGGCCUAAAGCGUGUGUAGGCGGGCGGGCAAGUACCUUGUGAAAUCCCACGGCUCAACCGUGGAACGGCUGGGUAUACUGCCUGUCUUGAGCCAACUAGGGGCGAGCGGAACAGACGGUGGAGCGGUGAAAUGCGUAGAUAUCGUCUGGAACGCCGAAGGUGAAAACAGCUCGCUGGGGUUGUGCUGACGCUGAGACACGAAAGCCAGGGAGCGAACGGG